Molecule: ribosomal RNA, 253 nt
Filed under: uncultured bacterium
Lineage: Bacteria
Description: partial 16S ribosomal RNA
Rfam family: Bacterial small subunit ribosomal RNA
Source: RNAcentral
UACAGGGGGUGCAAACGUUGCUCGGAAUCAUUGGGCGUAAAGCGCACGUAGGCGGUUCGUUAUGUCGGAUGUGAAAGCCCUUGGCUUAACCGAGGAAGUGCAUCCGAAACUGGCGAGCUAGAGUACUAAAGAGGAUCGCGGAAUUCCCGGUGUAGAGGUGAAAUUCGUAGAUAUUCGCAAGAACACCAGUGGCGAAGGCGGCUCACUGGCCCGAUACUGACGCUGAUGCACGAAAGCGUGGGGAGCAAACAGG